ACGAACGCUGGCGGCAGGCUUAACACCUGCAAGUCGAACGCCCCGCAAGGGGAGUGGCAGACGGGUGAGUAACGCGUGGGAACAUACCCUUUUCUACGGAAUAGCUCUGGGAAACUGGAAUUAAUACCGUAUACGCCCUACGGGGGAAAGAUUUAUCGGGGAAGGAUUGGCCCGCGUUGGAUUAGCUAGUUGGUGGGGUAAAGGCCUACCAAGGCGACGAUCCAUAGCUGGUCUGAGAGGAUGAUCAGCCACAUUGGGACUGAGACACGGCCCAAACUCCUACGGGAGGCAGCAGUGGGGAAUAUUGGACAAGGGGCGCAAGCCUGAUCCAGCCAUGCCGCGUGAGUGAUGAAGGCCUUAGGGUUGUAAAGCUCUUUCACCGAUGAAGAUAAUGACGGUAGUCGGAGAAGAAGCCCCGGCUAACUUCGUG
This 430-nucleotide ribosomal RNA is filed under the name uncultured bacterium. RNAcentral describes it as "partial 16S ribosomal RNA". It matches the Rfam family "Bacterial small subunit ribosomal RNA", at positions 29 to 507 of the family's 1533-position model. The record is from RNAcentral.